Molecule: ribosomal RNA, 500 nt
Filed under: uncultured bacterium
Lineage: Bacteria
Description: bacterial SSU rRNA
Rfam family: Bacterial small subunit ribosomal RNA
Source: RNAcentral
GAUGAACGCUAGCGGCAGACCUAAUACAUGCAAGUCGAGGGGCAGCAAAACACUUCGGUGUUGUUGGCGACCGGCGAACGGGUGCGUAACACGUAUGUAACCUACUUUGUACAGGGGAAUAGCUUUUGGAAACAAAAAUUAAUGCCCCAUACUAUUUUUUUCUCGCAUGAGAUAGAAAUAAAAGUUUUUUCGGUACAAAAUGGGCGUGCGUCCUAUUAGCUUGUUGGUGAGGUAAUAGCUCACCAAGGUAAUGAUAGGUAGGGGUUUUAAGAGGAAGAUCCCCCACACUGGUACUGAGACACGGAUCAGACUCCUACGGGAGGCAGCAGUAAGGAAUAUUGGUCAAUGGGCGAAAGCCUGAACCAGUCAUGCCGCGUGCAGGAAGAAGGCCAUAGGUCGUAAACUGCUUUUGUACGGGAAAAAUAAGUUUCUGCGGAAACUAAUGAUGGUACCGUAAGAAUAAGCACCGGCUAACUCCGUGCCAGCAGCCGCAGUAAAAC